AUAAAUUUAUAUUUAUUUUUUAAAAAAAAUGAAAUUUAUUUAGAAAUUUUAACUAGUUUUGGUACAAUUAGCUUCAAUUGAAAUUCAGAAUCUCAAUAAUAAAUCAUGAGCAAUAAAUGAAAAGACAACAAAAAUAGCUUCACCAAUAUGUAUUCAUCCACCAAAUCUUUGUUAGAUGUGUGGCACACAUAAUUUAGUCCCAAAAUCUAGAGAUGACCCUGCACAAUGAGACAGUGAAAAAAUUUUAGAAAUAAUAAGAAGAAACAAAUGAAAAAGAAGCAGGCAAAUGGACUUUCAUUAGGGUGAGCAUGGCUAUUGGGCAGACUAUUUUCCCUUUUUUUUAAUUAUUAUUAUAUUAUUUAUGUUCACACUCUGUCCACGUAGUUGCUUUCCUUCAUCGCUGCUCAAAGUUUAUAAGAACUUCAUAUACGGUAGGCCCUUCAAUUCUGCAAUGCAAG
This 458-nucleotide unclassified non-coding RNA is filed under the name Hevea brasiliensis (rubber tree). The record is from RNAcentral. Lineage: Eukaryota; Viridiplantae; Streptophyta; Magnoliopsida; Malpighiales; Euphorbiaceae.